UAUUUGAUUUGCAGUCUUCAUCCAAACACAACCCACGUUGCCCCUUGAAUUGAGCCGAACGCCAUUAGCUAUGGCUUCUGCUGAAGGAGGAGACAAGUACCGGUCGUUCCUGCACGGCGAUGGCGAGAAGAACACCGUGUGGAGGCAUGGAGCCCCUCCCAACUACGACCUGGUGAACAAGCUCUUCGAGGAAGAGAGGACCAAGGAAUGGCCGGAGGGGUCUCUGGAAGAGAAGGUGCAGCGCCUGCUCAAAAGCUGGGAGAUGGAGAUGGUCCACAAGGUGCGCCCCGAGGACCAGAAGAGCGUCCACCCUAGGAAUUACUCCGCGAGCACCAACGGGCUGAAGCCUCUGACGCGGGAGGAGGUGACCGCCAUCGGCGGCUACAACGCGUUCCUGGCGACCAAGCUGCCGCCGGAGCACCGCAUCUACGACCCGGACAAGGAGACGGUCGACUCCGGCAUGUCGACGUUCCUCACGGCGUUCCCCAGGGGCUUCGCCAUCGAGGUGCUGGACGUGUACAGCGGCCCGCCGAGGGUCGCCUUCAAGUUCCGGCACUGGGGUUACAUGGAGGGGCCGUUCAAGGGCCACCCCCCUCACGGCCACCGCGUCGAGUUCUUUGGCGUCUGCAUUUUCCACGUUGACGACGACACGAGGGUGGAGAAGGCCGAGUACUUCUACGAGCGUGGCAACUUCCUCGCGAGCUUCUUGAUAUCCUAAAUCGGCUUCAAAUUGACCAAGUCCACCAAAUCGAUCCCCCUCAUCCCACUCUCGUCCUCCGUUUCUCGCGUUUGAGUUGUCGCUUUCAUCCACUUUUGCUCCCUGUCCACGCCGCUAUCCUUGUCCGGCAUCGUAGAUGUCGACACCGAGCACCCCGUCCCCCACCGCCUCCAUGUGGGGGUACCGACCAUCGUCUCUUGCAAGGCGGAGAACAUCGCUCGAACAGAUUGGCGCAACCGGCAGCGCGUAGGGAAGUUACGAAGAUGGUAGCUGCGGAGAGGGGAGUGGCGGAGAAGGCUAGAGACAUGGAUAUAUGUAUGUCUAGUCUGGCAACCGCCUCCGUGUCGUCCGCCGUGAAAUAACAAGGCGCCAAACUCUGUUCCACCACCCAAAUGGGCCAUCCCGGAUGGCUGGACGGAAGACGUCGCUGCCGCGGAGACAAUGUAGGAGUCGCCGCAAUUCCAAAGGUUGCGGACAACAUUGUGAAACGUCGGCGCCGUGCAGGCCCACCUGUUAUUCAACGAUAUGCCCGACCAAGACCAGGAUCGGGAGGCUCGUCGCCAGGGUCACCCUCCAGAGCGAUGAUGUCGAGCUCGUCGCCGUCAACGACCCCUUCAUCACCACCGGGUACAUGGUAUGCCCCUCGAUCUGCAGUUUUCACCCGCUCCGAUAGCUAGAUCUGGUGGUCUGAAAGGUUUUAGAGUGGUUUUACCUGUGAUUUAUUCUGUUAGCAUACCUGAUGCUUGUGUUGUUCUGCCAGCAUUCUAUGAGGUAUAAGAGUUCGCCUGAUUUUGGAGUGGUCUCUAACUUGUUAAGAGUUCAGGCCUGAUUUUGCUAGUAGUAUUAGUCGGCUUGGAAUUGAUGGUGUUAGAUAGCACUCCAGUGUUACCUGACUUUGAAAUAGGUAGAUGGCGGCUUGGAUUGAUUUAUUCCUUGCCUGUUGGACGAACUGAGAUGUUCUGCAGCAAGCUGCAUUUGGUGGUGCAGUGCACACACUGAAGGGCUGGCGUGGCAUUCCCGGGCUUACCAAAAUAGAGUUCAGUGGUGAACUACCAAUGGAAAUUUCAGUAGUAAAAGCUAGGACUCUAAAUUUCAAAUUUCCAUAGUACAUCAGUAGGAACUUGGGUUCUGUAUGUUCAGAUAGCUAUUAUGCAAAUGUGCACCCUUAUUUCAAAUAUUUCCGGACGUAUGGAGUGGGUGCCGGCGGCGCCUUGUCCCAGCUGAUGCAACUCUCUUUUUGAGUCGCUCGACUCGUAUAUAUCGACUAGUCCAUCCACGGCUCGACUCGUAACUUCUAUUUCUAGCGGCCUGUAUAUGUAUGGUCCUGAUUAAUGUCACUCCAAUUAAGGAAGCCUUAUAGUACAUAUGUUUGCACUGAACAAGUGUAUUUAUGGUUCAGAAUGGAAAACAAUCAAACAAGUUAUUGUUUUCCUCCUUAGCAUGCAUCUAGUCUUUGGGGAAUAUUUGUUCUGAAGUCAUUACUGCACUAUAUUUAGCUAUGCCAUCCCAAUGCUUGAGUCCUGAUAACAUCCAAGAACAGUAUCUGGGACUGGCUUGCAUUUAUGCUUCUUAAAAUGGAAAACUGUGCUACUUAACUUUUUACCUGAUGUGACUAGCUUCCUACUUAUCAGUUUUUGCCUUGUUAAUAACUAGAAAACCUUUAUGCUAGUAUAUAGUAGGAUUAUUAAUUAGCUCUUGUUAGUUGGUAUUGUUGUUGUACAAGCGGGGGCCUCUCUCCUAGAGAUAUAAUUCUAGGUGCAGGUUCAUCAUAGUUUUAGUGCAAAUAUUUGCAUCAGAUGGAUGCAUGGAGUGUUCCUUUCUUCCUUAUAAAGCUAGCCUACUAUAUUGAAAUUGACACACUUUUGCAUGCA
Molecule: RNA transcript, 2589 nt
Organism: Triticum dicoccoides
Lineage: Eukaryota; Viridiplantae; Streptophyta; Magnoliopsida; Poales; Poaceae
Gene name: pathogen-related protein-like
Exons: 6
Source: RefSeq, a predicted model, not a curated record